RNAcentral lists this ribosomal RNA (492 nucleotides) under uncultured bacterium. RNAcentral describes it as "partial 16S ribosomal RNA". It matches the Rfam family "Bacterial small subunit ribosomal RNA", at positions 29 to 507 of the family's 1533-position model. The record is from RNAcentral.
AGUGAACGCUGGCGGUAGGCCUAACACAUGCAAGUCGAACGGCAGCACAGUAAGAGCUUGCUCUUACGGGUGGCGAGUGGCGGACGGGUGAGGAAUACAUCGGAAUCUACUUUUUCGUGGGGGAUAACGUAGGGAAACUUACGCUAAUACCGCAUACGACCUACGGGUGAAAGCAGGGGAUCUUCGGACCUUGAGCGAUUGAAUGAGCCGAUGUCGGAUUAGCUAGUUGGCGGGGUAAAGGCCCACCAAGGCGACGAUCCGUAGCUGGCCUGAGAGGAUGAUCAGCCACACUGGAACUGAGACACGGUCCAGACUCCUACGGGAGGCAGCAGUGGGGAAUAUUGGACAAUGGGCGCAAGCCUGAUCCAGCCAUACCGCGUGGGUGAAGAAGGCCUUCGGGUUGUAAAGCCCUUUUGUUGGGAAAGAAAAGCAGCAGGUUAAUACCCCGCUGUUCUGACGGUACCCAAAGAAUAAGCACCGGCUAACUUCGUG